UUAAUUUAUCACUGCGGUGAUAUAUUUGUAACUGCGGUGAUACUUUGUUUGACCCAAAGCGUUUGAUAAGAGCUAAAUCAAACUGACCAAUGAAAUAACGUCUUGCGAAACGGCAAAUCGGCGAAUAUUUACUGCGAAGUUGUAAAGAUGUCUGCCUCCAUGGAUACUGUAAACAUUAGCGUUCAGAUCAUGAGUUUGGUAAUUUUAAUCUUCGGACACAAGGAUGACGGCAAUUAAGAGACCAUCAAUGGUUGUGAAACUGAGGAUAUUCUAUUGGAAGGAAAGACAUGAAUGCAUUCAAGUUUCCUGUGAGCAAUAUGAUGCCCUGAGUUUGCCAGACUGCCUAACAUUAUAAAACAAGAGAGUGAAACACUUGAAACUUGAAAACAUGUAGUUCCUGUGUUUCUAGAGCCUGAAAUGGCAACUCCAGCUUUCUACCAAAGCAUCAUCUGGAAUUCAACUAUGUACAUUAAAAAAUGAAUGCGUGUCUUAAUUAUGUCUUUUGAGAGCCCUGACGGGUCUUGAGAUAUCAGAUGUUUUGAAAUUUAUGACAAUUAAUUAUAGAACAUUUGUAAUGUUCAAUCCUGUUCAUGUUUUGUGUGAACUGAUAGUAAGCUUAUGUAUGAGGAACCGUUUAUUGCCUGGUUAGCUGCUGUAGAGCACUCAUAGGAAUCGGGAGAUCUUUGGAAUUCCUUUGUGGCUUGCAAAUUUCAACCUGUUUUCAAAAAUUGCUUAGUUGGUCAGUGUGUCAAAAUGUCAAUUUUCAGGUCUGGUUUUAAGAAAGAUAUUUAAAGGCAAUGUGCAUGGUUUUCCUUAGUAAUAGCAUGUGCACAGAAAAAAAGCUUAAUAUUAGAUAUUUUGUAAAAAUCAGUUUCUUGUCCGUCCAUAGCUAUACACGUACAUAGAUGAUGUUAACUGUAAUUAAUAUACCAACAAUAAAUAAAAGGUUGUAUCUUGCAUCUUUUAA
This is a long non-coding RNA of Dreissena polymorpha, 967 nucleotides long. RefSeq lists it as uncharacterized. The record is from RefSeq and is a predicted model, not a curated record. Lineage: Eukaryota; Metazoa; Mollusca; Bivalvia; Myida; Dreissenidae. The transcript has 2 exons.